CCUACGGGGGGCAGCAGUAGGGAAUUUUUCACAAUGGGCGAAAGCCUGAUGGAGCAACGCCGCGUGCAGGAUGAAGGCCUUCGGGUUGUAAACUGCUUUUAUCAGCGAGAAAUAUGAUGGUAACUUAUGAAUAAGGAUCGGCUACCUACGUGCCAGCAGCCGCGGUCAUACGUAGGAUCCGAGCAUUAUCCGGAGUGACUGGGUGUAAAGAGUUGCGUAGGUGGCAUAAUAAGUAGCUAGUGAAAUCUGGUGGCUCAACCAUUCAGACUAUUAGCUAAACUGUUAAGCUCGAGACCGUUAGGGGUAACUGGAAUUUCUAGUGUAGGAGUGAAAUCCGUAGAUAUUAGAAGGAACACCAAUAGCGUAGGCAGGUUGCUGGGACGGGUCUGACACUAAGGCACGAAAGCGUAGGGAGCAAACGGGAUUAGAUACCCGGGUAGUC
Molecule: ribosomal RNA, 442 nt
Filed under: uncultured bacterium
Lineage: Bacteria
Description: partial 16S ribosomal RNA
Rfam family: Bacterial small subunit ribosomal RNA
Source: RNAcentral